This 687-nucleotide long non-coding RNA is filed under the name Sorghum bicolor (sorghum). RNAcentral describes it as "long non-coding RNA (SBIC_LNC007365)". Lineage: Eukaryota; Viridiplantae; Streptophyta; Magnoliopsida; Poales; Poaceae. The record is from RNAcentral.
CUCAGCAAGAGCCGCUGUCUCCUCAGGGUUAGAUGGAGCAAUAAUCUCAUCGUAAUGUAAUUCCUCAAGAAGUGGCUGCUUAAAUCUGUCAGGCUCUGGUUCUGGUAAGUCAUCUUCAUUUGCAUCAACAAACUCUUUUCUUCCAAUUUUAAUGAUAGGCUUUCUUCGACGCUUUGUGGGAUACUCAGGAAGGUCAACUCCAGCUUGGAUGCAAAGUUCCACAAGAGCGGGAAUGCGGGGUACAGAAAACCUCUGAUCAUGAGGGAUGCGCGGCCCUAGGCGGUCCUCUAGAUGAUAGGCUUCGAUGGGUAAGAAAACAGCUUCAACUAGAGUACUUCCCCAGUCAUGUUCUCCUCUACGUUGAGCUGCUGACAUUCCUCGGCAUGUUCGGAAAGGAUGUCCAACAGAUCCAACAUGUAUCUCACUGCAAUACCUGCAACAGAAAAGUACACAUGAAUGUGCGAAGAUGAACCCAGGAGGAACUAGGUGGCAAUUGUAAAUUUGUAAAUAACAAGAAAUAGGCAUCCAUAUUCGAGUUGAAGAGGACUGAAUCUAGGUGGUUGGGUGUGCAUCCACACCUCCCACCAACUGAGCCUAGCUCAAUUUUUUUUGAACUUUGAAAGUUCACCUAGUGUGACGAUGAGAUUUUCUUUGUGUACAGUAUGAAGACCUCACUGGGAAACAGGC